Molecule: ribosomal RNA, 468 nt
Filed under: uncultured bacterium
Lineage: Bacteria
Description: partial 16S ribosomal RNA
Rfam family: Bacterial small subunit ribosomal RNA
Source: RNAcentral
GACGAACGCUGGCGGCGUGCUUAACACAUGCAAGUCGAACGGAAAGGCCCUGCUUUUGUGGGGUGCUCGAGUGGCGAACGGGUGAGUAACACGUGAGUAACCUGCCCUUGACUUUGGGAUAACUUCAGGAAACUGGGGCUAAUACCGGAUAGGAGCUCCUGCUGCAUGGUGGGGGUUGGAAAGUUUCGGCGGUUGGGGAUGGACUCGCGGCUUAUCAGCUUGUUGGUGGGGUAGUGGCUUACCAAGGCUUUGACGGGUAGCCGGCCUGAGAGGGUGACCGGCCACAUUGGGACUGAGAUACGGCCCCGACUCCUACGGGAGGCAGCAGUGGGGAAUAUUGCCCAAUGGGCGGGAGCCUGAUGCAGCAACGCCGCGUGCGGGAUGACGGCCUUCGGGUUGUAAACCGCUUUCGCCUGUGACGAAGCGUGAGUGACGGUAAUGGGUAAAGAAGCACCGGCUAACUACGUG